Molecule: long non-coding RNA, 1541 nt
Filed under: Sus scrofa (pig)
Lineage: Eukaryota; Metazoa; Chordata; Mammalia; Artiodactyla; Suidae
Description: lncRNA (ENSSSCG00060062177.1)
Source: RNAcentral
CUGUACACAAGGCAAAGGCAUAGUGUAUUGUACCUUUACAAGGAUAUUUUUCUGAGUCUGAAUUUGAAAAUCAAAAUGUAAACUCCAUAGCAAUAGCCCUUCUUUACUUAUUCUCAUGAAUUAGACGGCUUAUAUAGUUUGACGCUGAGACUAGAAAGAGUUAUUUAAAGAUUAUUGCUCUAGUUCAUUGCUUAAGUUCCUCAUUUAUGUCAUUUAGUAGCAGUAAUAACCAUAAAACAAUAACAGUGCUGUGGUCCUAGAAAGCACUGUGUACUAGGUGCUGUUUUAGUUACUCAUGUAUAGUGACUUAUUUAACCCUUAUGACAGUGUUAUGAGGUUGGCAUUUUAUCAUCCCUGUUUUGUUUUUUAUUUUUAAUUCUUUUUUGAUUCCACACUUUCACAAUAUAUUUUUUUAAAAUUUUCGGAAUGUAUUAUCUUCACAUUUUUUAGCAAGUGCUAACUAUAGAAAAAGAUGAAUACCAUUUCAGUUUGGUUUCUAAGAUAACAUCAUUCUGACACUCAAAUGCCAAAAUAUAGUAUAGAUGACACAGAGAGCAAUCAUUUCUAUGAAUUUAAUACAAAAUCCUGUAAAAUAGCACCAUUCCAAAUUCUAGAGAAAAUCAUGAGCAAUUAGAGUUGAGACUAGGAGUAGAAGGUCUAUAUGAAAUGUAAUGAUUAAAAGCAUUCACCCCUAUUUUAUUGAGGAGGAAACUGAGUCACGUAAAAGAGAAAUGACAUUCAGAGUCCCGUGCAGAGGAGGCGAUGGUCAGGACAGGGUCUUGUUACAUACCCUUCCUGCUAAACAAAUUCUCUCUCUAAUCUUUACCUCUAGGCUGAAAUCUUCCUUCAAAUUCAGUUCUGGCUAUAGGACAUCUCUUCCCAAACACCUACCGGAUCAUCGAAUCCAGCAUGUUGCAGAUAGAGUGGAAGGUCUGGGGCCAGUUUCUUUGAUUACAGAUAGAAGAACCUCCUAUAUCUCAAACUAACUCCAUCUAAGAGGAAGAAAUCGCUGUGAGGAUAUGAGAGAAACUCAUUAUAAGGGCUUGAAUAGAUAAAGUGAAAAUUUGUCAGGAACAAAAGUGAGCAUUUCCUUUGUCUGUGGGUCACUCUGUCUCUGCAAUCUGUUCUCUGAUUUAUUUCCUUUUUUUUUCAAAAUAAGUUAAGCCAUUUAUUUGUAGUAUUUACUAGUUUCUGUGGUGUAAACAUUCCCUCCAUGGUCAAUUUCAAUUUCAGUGAUAUCAUGACCAGCAUGAUAUCACUGAAGACAGAAUUGAGAAAAGAUGUGUAGUAGUAAACAUUGUUUAUAAUAUUUCCACCACAAAAAUAUAAUCAGUAUCAACAACCUCAUGUAUAGUACAAUAUGGUUAAAUAACUAAGUAAUGCAUUUUUGAGGGUUUUUUUGGUUUUAAUAUAAUUUACCUAAUUCUAAGUUUAUAUGACAUUUAUUUUAAUGGCUUACAAUAUUUUUUAAAAUUAACAGUUGACUCUCAAGAGCCAUCUCAAGCACAAUGCAGUAAUAAAUGUUGUAAUAUUGGUCCUCA